RNAcentral lists this ribosomal RNA (748 nucleotides) under Salmonella enterica. RNAcentral's name for it is "partial 23S ribosomal RNA". It matches the Rfam family "Bacterial large subunit ribosomal RNA", at positions 2200 to 2925 of the family's 2925-position model. Lineage: Bacteria; Pseudomonadati; Pseudomonadota; Gammaproteobacteria; Enterobacterales; Enterobacteriaceae. The record is from RNAcentral.
CCACCCUUUAAUGUUUGAUGUUCUAACGUGGACCCGUUACCCGGGUUGCGGACAGUGUCUGGUGGGUAGUUUGACUGGGGCGGUCUCCUCCUAAAGAGUAACGGAGGAGCACGAAGGUUGGCUAAUCCUGGUCGGACAUCAGGAGGUUAGUGCAAUGGCAUAAGCCAGCUUGACUGCGAGCGUGACGGCGCGAGCAGGUGCGAAAGCAGGUCAUAGUGAUCCGGUGGUUCUGAAUGGAAGGGCCAUCGCUCAACGGAUAAAAGGUACUCCGGGGAUAACAGGCUGAUACCGCCCAAGAGUUCAUAUCGACGGCGGUGUUUGGCACCUCGAUGUCGGCUCAUCACAUCCUGGGGCUGAAGUAGGUCCCAAGGGUAUGGCUGUUCGCCAUUUAAAGUGGUACGCGAGCUGGGUUUAGAACGUCGUGAGACAGUUCGGUCCCUAUCUGCCGUGGGCGCUGGAGAACUGAGGGGGGCUGCUCCUAGUACGAGAGGACCGGAGUGGACGCAUCACUGGUGUUCGGGUUGUCAUGCCAAUGGCACUGCCCGGUAGCUAAAUGCGGAAGAGAUAAGUGCUGAAAGCAUCUAAGCACGAAACUUGCCCCGAGAUGAGUUCUCCCUGAGACUUAGAGUCUCCUGAAGGAACGUUGAAGACGACGACGUUGAUAGGCCGGGUGUGUAAGCGCAGCGAUGCGUUGAGCUAACCGGUACUAAUGAACCGUGAGGCUUAACCUUACAACGCCGAAGCUGUU